AUCCUGACAGAGAGUGAUGAAACUCCAGCCAAUUGUACAACUGUUGUUGUCAACAAAGACUUGUCUGUGUACCUUCAACUCCAAGGAGAUUUAAAUGCAGAUGCUGAGCGUGAAAAGCUAAGGAAGAAAAAAUGAAAUUCAAAAGCUACAAAAUGCACUGGCACAGAAAAUGGACGCCUCUGGGUAUCGCGAGAAGGCUCCACAGAGCGUGCAGGAGGAGGACAUGAGAAAGCUCACCGCUUUGUUGGAAUAACUAGAGGUCAUCAGUGAAGCUGAGAAGAAAUUAGACUCAAACAGAGUCUGUACCGAAGUUGGUCCCCACAUUUUUCUUGUUUGCAAAAAGCUCAGCUAAUGUUCCUGUUUGCUCAGGUUUUCAAUUGAUGAUUCAGAUGGAAGCCACACUUUUGCAGCGUGUAAGAAUAUUCACUGGCUGUACAGAACCAUAUUUUUGGGUGUUCGAUUUUGUCAAGUUAUAAACUUCUGAUGA
This is a long non-coding RNA of Zea mays, 487 nucleotides long. RefSeq lists it as uncharacterized. The record is from RefSeq and is a predicted model, not a curated record. The transcript has 2 exons. Lineage: Eukaryota; Viridiplantae; Streptophyta; Magnoliopsida; Poales; Poaceae.